Molecule: long non-coding RNA, 1425 nt
Filed under: Triticum aestivum (bread wheat)
Lineage: Eukaryota; Viridiplantae; Streptophyta; Magnoliopsida; Poales; Poaceae
Description: long non-coding RNA (TAES_LNC005847)
Source: RNAcentral
GUAUUUUUCUUGUGAUGUGAACAGGUUCGGUUUCACUUCAGAACCUCGUCCUCACGCGGUCAUGAUAAUGGCGUCUCAUACUCGCAAUCUCAAUAUUUUGUUCUCCACUCGUUGGGUCCGAAAAGGGGAUUCAUGCUGCUGGAAAAGCCUAGUAUUUUCGCUGUCAUAUAAAAUAAAAUGAAAGCUCCAAAAAAGUAAACAUGCUUUUCGCUGUUCAUUAUCCGUCUCAUGUUUUGAAUUAAAAAAAAGGUGAUUGUUUCUCAGGUUUCUUAGCCGCACGCAGAAGAUAGAUGAACGCUGGGAGGUCAGUUGAUAAUCAGAACCUCAUACCCAUGUGGUCAUCUUGAUUUUGAUGUCUCAAUAAUCAGUACCUCUCUGCUCCAGUUGCUGGGAUUUCAGAAAACAAACUGGGGAUUUAUGCUUCCAUGUCGGAAAUGCCUACCUACUAUUUUGCUGCCAUAUCAGAAAUCUGAAAGUUGGACAGGUAACCUGCUUUUUUCCCUCUCUAUCUAUUAUUCACCACAUGUUCUGAACUAAAAACAAGAUGAUUAUUUUUCAGCUCCUUGACUGCAUUCAGAAGAAAUAUCCGGAGAUGUUCGGACAGGAAUUCGGUAAUCGGACCAGGCAAAUUUGCUAGGAUUGAUCGAACUUGUAUCUCCCUCCGUCAGAAAUUUGGGAUAGCCUUGCCAGAGGACGUGCAUUCUGACCCUGUCUCCUCCGACAGGACAAGUUCCUGCUCAUCUCCGUUCUAUGUUCAGGCUUCAGGCAAGGCAAUUAACCCGCCUGCAUGCUCACCGGUAAUAAAAAAUAGCCCCAUUUUGAAGGUGCAAUGAGUGAGUUAUGUCGACACACUGCUUGCUUGACCAUUUUCCGAACCUUCUAUGCAUCAAAGGAGGAUGCAGGGGCAUGUGUCAGUGAGGAGUCUCAACUUGUUAGCCUAAUGUCGGUGCAUUUGUUUGCGUUCUGCUAUUGACGGUGGUUUGUCGUCCCGAGUUUAUUUUCGGCGGCAAAUGCGCAUUUCUUGACAACCUUAUUUUUUUUCUGCGAAAUGCUGUUCAUGAACCUCAUCAACUUGUUAGAUGUUGGUGUGCUACCAUUUCAGAAGAAUGCUUCCUUGUAACUUUUACACGUUGCUGGAUUACCGUUUCUAUGUUUGGAAGAAUGCUUUCGUUAUGUUAAAGUGAUAAUGUCUUCAGCCCUGAGUUGCACAUGUAGUUGAUAGUUUAGCUGACAAGGCAGCGCUUGUAUCAUGAAUUCAUGAUGCCUUUGAUUUGAUACAUUUAAAGAUGCUAUCAAUUUAACACUACAGAGUUCAGUAUGUUAAUACUAUUGAAACAGCGUAACUGAAUGCAUGUUCGCUGCUUAUACACGCAUACGUCAGAACUAACCUGUCAAAGAAACACAACACAGAGCUGCAAGUUGGUC